This is an RNA transcript of Gossypium arboreum, 1279 nucleotides long. It is a transcript of the gene named tubulin-folding cofactor D-like, with no coding region annotated. The transcript is spliced from 8 exons. The record is from RefSeq and is a predicted model, not a curated record. NCBI's taxonomy places the organism in Eukaryota, Viridiplantae, Streptophyta, Magnoliopsida, Malvales, Malvaceae.
GGCAUUUUUAUAAAAAACGCCUCAAAAAAAUCAAUGCGCGGUUUUAUUCUCAAAUUUCCCCUCUCUAAAACCCCGAAAAUUUUUCCCCUAAAAUCAAUAUCCUCAAAACACUCCCAAUCUCACCCUUCUAUUUCUCUUUUCAAUCAAGAAAGUCUCCAGCAGCAGUCUUGAUUUGGUUUCCAGUUAGACUCUGAGAUAGAAGAGAUGGCAGUGAACCAGACGGCGGCGUUGAAGGUGGGGUUGUGUCUAUUGGCAUUUCAUGGAAGGACUGCAAUACAAUAGCCUCGAUCUCGUAACUCCAAAGCCUUCCUAUUUGCUACCAGUUUUGGUAGUUUCAAGAAGCUUAUUUUUUGCUUUAUUCCUCAGACGAAGUCAUCAGUCUCACAAAGGAAGAAAUUUCAACUUGUUUUUUACAUCUAAACGAAAAAAAUAAUGCCUAACAUUGUUUCAGAGCACUUGCUGCAAAGAGGAACAGGUAUCAAAGACAGAAGUCAUUGAUGCUGCUUGAAAUGGAGAGUCAGCACGCGAAGGGGUUACCAUCAGUUCCCCUCAACCCCCAUUAGUAGUCAAACAGCCAGCUUUGGAAAGGAUUGAGCAAUGCUUCCUUUACAGCCACUCAGGAGCGGGAAACUACUUUGAAUCAGCUACUAAUAGAGCUUGAUGGGUUUGAUACUGGCAAAGGUGUUAUAUUUUCGGCUGCUACAAAUCGUAGAGAUUUGUUAGAUCCUGCACUUCUCAGGCAAGGUCGUUUUGAUCGCGAGAGUCAGGCCUCGAUCUCGAUGAACAAAUCUCGCAGCUGAUGCAAUGUAAGCCACUUUCGGAGCAGCAGGUCAGAGCAUUAUGCGACAAGGCAUAAAAUAUGCAUCUCAAAGACUAGAUACAUUUGCAUGUGUUAGGCAAAAUGGUUGAACAAGCAAUUGAGCAAAUUAUGGCCUUUUAUUGCAGAGGUGCAUACUUUGGCUUUCUGUUCCGGUGUUUUGGAUUCUCUGGCGGUUGAAUUGAAAGCAUCAAAGGACUUCUCUAAGUUAUAUGCAGGAAUUGCAAUACUUUGGCAUCACAUAAGCUUGAACCAGCCCUCUGUUGUGUAUUGUUUCUUCUUUUUUUUGAUCUUUUUCUUUUGAUUAAUGAGAGGUGAUGAUGAAUUGACAUUCUUUUCUCACGAGGAUGAAUUUUAUUUUAGAAAUUGUAAUACUUUGUGUGUUUGUGUGUGUUAUUUUUAUGUAUUAAAUUACAUAUUGAAUCAAUCUUUAUGUAUUAAAUUUAAAUUCAUUAAUUUUUA